RNAcentral lists this long non-coding RNA (210 nucleotides) under Musa acuminata (dwarf banana). RNAcentral describes it as "long non-coding RNA (MACU_LNC004058)". The record is from RNAcentral. Lineage: Eukaryota; Viridiplantae; Streptophyta; Magnoliopsida; Zingiberales; Musaceae.
AGGGAACACAAAGAAGAGACAAAAACAGAACACUGAAGAGAGAGAGAGAGAGAGAGAGAGCGAAAGGAAUGUGAAAUCAGGCACGACACUAAUGAAGAGAUCUCCGGGCAUUAGAAUGGCAUUAAGAAUAAUUAUCGCGCAUGAAAUUGACGUAAAUUUUCGUCAAUCAGGGGUUGGAGAUGAAUGGAACAUUACAUCUUAAAAAAAAAA